Molecule: ribosomal RNA, 1656 nt
Filed under: Triticum aestivum (bread wheat)
Lineage: Eukaryota; Viridiplantae; Streptophyta; Magnoliopsida; Poales; Poaceae
Description: partial small subunit ribosomal RNA
Source: RNAcentral
CUUUUCUUUUUUUUCUCUGAGGAAGGGUCGGGCGACUGACAGAGGGAUCGGGGCUGGGCGGCGGCGACGGCGGCGGCGGAGGGAGGAGGGCGGGGCGCGGCGAGAGGUGGAGGAGGGCCGAGGGUAGGUGGCUUUCGGCGGCGGCGGCGAAGAGGAAGUGUAGCGGCGGAACGGGGACAUGCUGCGGCCGGCGGAGGGAUUAGCGCUUGCCGCCCCUCCUCUGCUCCGCGCCGCCUUAAGGCGUGGCCUCAUCUCGCCUGGCAGAGGAGCGUCGAGGGGGCGGGUGCGACGGCGAACACUCCACUAUCGUGGGGGCGGGGCAGAUGGCACAGUGGCGUUGGACGGCGGGUACCGGCCCCUUCUGCCGUUCCACCUAGUAGGUGCGGCGUCGCCCGCGGACUUCCGAGUUUGAGCGCGCCUAGUCCUCGUGCCACGACUCCUGUGGUCGCUCCACCUGACGAGCGCGGCGGCGACAGAGUCCGGAGUCAGAAGGAGCCCGGUCCUCCAGCUACCGCUCCGCCUGGUGGGCGCGAUGUUAAAUGCGGAGUCCUCGGUGACACGACACUCGUUCCUUCCGUUCCUAGUAUUGUCCCACUUUUUCGGUUUCGUACUCAAAAAAGAGAUAUAACUAAUGAUAUCCCUCUUCCUCUUCCGUUUGCCUUCUUUCAAUUUGCGAGCUCUACGUUCAUUUGUCCGAUUCACCUACACCUUUUUCUACUCACUACGACUGUUUCGGGGGAUGUUCCGUCUCCGAUAUUCUGAUUCACGUCUUAUGUUUCUUUUUUUUCCCUUCCUACUUGACGAGAAGUGGUCUUCACCAGAGGUGCGGGGGUGGCCACUUACUGUGCCGAAGUCUCCACUAGCGGUGCGGAGGUCGCCACUUACCGUGCGGUGGUCGACACUUACCGUGUGGAGAUGUCCACUAGCAGUACGGUGGUCGACACUUACUGUGCGGUGGUCGACACUUACCGUGCGGUGGUCGACACUUACCGUGUGGAGAUGUCCACGGGUUGAAGUCACUGGGCAGAACCGAAGUCCUAGAAGGUCGUGGAGGUGUCCACACAAGUGGUCUGCUUUAGACGGUUGAAAUAAAGUACGGCUGAACAAUAUUUAUAACUCUGCACGAAAAAAGCCGUAACUUUUACAUCCUCGGUCAUAAGUCGAAAUCGCCUUCAAGUUACCAUACAAGAGUUAUAAAUAGAAAAACAAUUGUAACUUAGAUAAAUAUACAAAAUCAGUGUAGAAACAACAUCCUGGGCCACAGAUACAUACAAAGUUGACCCGGCCUUCGUAGUUCGCUAAGCUUCAGAAACAAAUUCUUUCCUUUUCCACUACCGCACGCCGGAAGCGGGGGCAGCCACUUGUCCGGUCGACACUCCGCUCCAUCGUUCAUCUUUUCCCUCGUUCUGUUUUGAACACAAUGGAACACCUGCGACGUGCAGUACCGUCGGUCUGUCGCACGCUAACUCGAGGUGAUGAGGUCAACUCUAGUCGAACAUCUCAAAGUGUAAGAAGCCAAGUCGAACAUCUGAAAAAAAAGAAAAGAAAAGAACUCACGUUUACAAUUCCCAGGCAUCCUUGUUAAAACAUGUUCAAAAGACGAUCGUUUACAUGUCCCGAUGCAUUAAACAAAUCAUUAGCAUUUAACGAUCGUUU